This 402-nucleotide ribosomal RNA is filed under the name uncultured bacterium. Its description in RNAcentral is "bacterial SSU rRNA". It matches the Rfam family "Bacterial small subunit ribosomal RNA", at positions 355 to 774 of the family's 1533-position model. The record is from RNAcentral.
UCGGGAAUUUUGGGCAAUGGGCGAAAGCCUGACCCAGCAACGCCGCGUGAGGGAUGAAGUAUUUCGGUAUGUAAACCUCGAAAGAAUGGGAAGAAUAAAUGACGGUACCAUUUAUAAGCUCCGGCUAACUACGUGCCAGCAGCCGCGGUAAUACGCAGGGAGCAAGCGUUGUCCGGAUUUAUUGGGUUUAAAGGGUGCGCAGGCGGGAUGUUAAGUCGGCGGUGAAAUUUUGCAGCUCAACUGUAAAAGUGCCUUCGAUACUGGCCUCCUUGAGUGUGGAUGAAGUAGGCGGAAUUUGUGGUGUAGCGGUGAAAUGCUUAGAUAUUAGGAGGAACACCAGUGGCGAAGGCGGCUUUCUGGACUGUAACUGACACUGAGGCACGAAAGCGUGGGGAGCAAACA